This 1969-nucleotide long non-coding RNA is filed under the name Homo sapiens (human). Its description in RNAcentral is "HSALNT0042479". Lineage: Eukaryota; Metazoa; Chordata; Mammalia; Primates; Hominidae. The record is from RNAcentral.
CAGCAAUUGGCCACAGGCACACACACCCCCAAUCAGAGGCGCGCACCCCGCUCGCUCCCGGAACUGUCAUGCGGGCUGACAGCUGGCACACCCUCCUGUCGCCCUCCACCCGCCUGCAGAAAGCCCACUCCCUACAGUCACCUUGACAUUGCUCACCUGCCUGGGCCUCAGCCCAUGACCAAGGAAACUUUUGCCCUCCCUCCCCAGGAGCUCACUUACAGGCCAUCUUCAAAGGUACUGCCUACCUGAACCUGCCUUGUCCCAAAGGACACACUUCAAUCUGGGGAGAGUUUAAAGUUGUAGACAUAUCCAUUUUCAUUUAAGGAAUAUGAAGAUCAGGGAGGCAAAAUAUAGAGAUAUAGAGAGGAAAAACUGAGAGAUGAUCAGAAAUUCAGACGCAUUCGGAAUGAGCACCCUUGACCAUACCAAGAACAAAGACUCUAUAAAAAUGUGAAGUCUUAUUAUUGUUCAUCCAUGUUCUACGUGGGAUCCACCCAAGACAUUGAAAACUGUACAGAACAGGGUGAAAUUGAAUCAGAUCAUUCUGUACUCCUAACAAGGUCCACCCCAUGAGAGACUUGCAGCAGAAUUAAUGACACUGUAUAUUUUCCUCUACUAACAACAACAAGAACAACAACAACAACAAUCUAGGAAAAUCAAAGGCAGCCCGACAUGGAAAAAAACACAAAAUGAAUAUUUGGAUUACAAAUAGUGUGAUGGGAAGAACACACUGCCAAAAGUCCACCUAGUAUGUUGAAAUUACUGUUUCUAGCACAUAUAAGGUAUGAUUUUUUAAUGUUUUAAACAUUCAUUAUUGGCUACUUUAACUAUUUUUCCUUGGUAACUGCAGCAGAAAUUGAAAAAUGAUAGAAAAGCAGAAAAGAAUGGCAUAACUUAUCAGAUAUAUGUAAGUGUGUAAACUUUGGGUUUUAUUGUUUAGCUCAUCUAGUAACUUGGGAAAAUAAUAGCUAUUCCAUAAGAUUGUUGAGAAAAUUAAAUGAGAGAACACAGUUAACAGACUUAGCUGAAUGUGUAGCAUAUAGAGGGCACUCAGGCAUCCCUGGCAUACAGGUAUGAGUCUGCAAUUAACAAGGUAAUGGAAAGAGUGUUGCAGAUCUCUGACCGAAGUAUUUUCUCCUGGGCUUACAGUAUUUAUCAGCUAUCAUAAUACAAAUUUGCUGCCAAUUUGUACUGACUUCUGAAAAAUACUUUAUCCAUUGUCUUCUUACAUCAGAAUCAACUCCCUAAAUUCUUCAGCACUGGCUUUGUAAACUGGUUUCUGGUCUUUGUUUCUGUCAACUUACCUAUAAAAGGAUACAAAAACUGAAGAACAGAGAGGAGCAGAUACCCUGGAAAGCCGAAAGUUUUAUUGACCAAAGACUGAGUCUCGGAAUGUUUUGAUUGUGGAGUUUAUAGAGUUCAGGCUGAAGUUUUAUAAAAAUAACUUGCAGCAGCAUGGAGGACUGAUGAGAAAGUAGACAGAUGCUGGAAGCAGGAAAACUGAACAGCAGGUCACUGGCCAAGGAGAAUCAAAGAGCUAGAUGCUGAGAAUAAUGCAGCCAUAACGUGAAAUCUUUUUGAGACCACUCACUCUGGGAGAAAGCAACUGGCUAUGUCAUGAGGAAAUUGAAACCACCUAUGGAGAAAGGCCCACAUGGUGAGAAAGUAAAGCCUCUUCCCAAUACCAAAAUUCUGUAAGUCUGCUACGGUGACAUUUCUGGUUAGGAGUCAGAGUGGAUGGGACACUGAGCAAUAAGAAUGCAGAGACAUGAUGGCUGAAGCUGGAGCUUUUCCCUGAAGCAACCACCUGUUGGAAACUUCAUGUUGAAGAUGACUGAAUAAUAAGACAGAGGGGUCUGGGUCCCUGGUGGAUAUUCCAGAUCUGGGUGUUCGUGGAGAUAUGAGAAAGCAAUAAACUUCAAUUUUGCUUAAAUAGCUGUUACUUGGGGCAUUCUGUCAUUUAUGGACA